Long non-coding RNA from Clupea harengus (Atlantic herring), 2182 nucleotides. RefSeq lists it as uncharacterized. The record is from RefSeq and is a predicted model, not a curated record. The transcript is spliced from 3 exons. NCBI's taxonomy places the organism in Eukaryota, Metazoa, Chordata, Actinopteri, Clupeiformes, Clupeidae.
GCCAGAGGGCAUCAAAGCCGUUAUUGCAAAGCUCAGAUAUACUCUGAAUAGCUAGCUAGCAGCAUGCAGCAAACGAAGCAGCAAACAAAGUUCUCAAGAUGCGCUGUGGUCGGCUGCACAGAUCCUCACAGAUCUAUACAUCAUGUUCCAGCCUCAGAAGAGACAAGAGCGAAAUGGAUUGAUUUCAUUUUUGAAGGCAAUGUCCCGGAAAGAAUUGGCAAAAUUCUGUUUGUGUGCGCAAACCAUUUUGAAUUGGACUGUUUUGCCAACCUGGGUGAAUAUAACGCUGGACUCGCAACAAGAUUGACCUUGCAAGCGGGUUCAGUACCAUCUAUCCGUCGCAUUUCAGACCAGGCAAAUGUAAGUAUUUUUUAAAAAUAAUUCUGGUACGUGCAUUGACCAUUUAGUGUGGGUGGUUAGGGACGUUAGGAAUGUUGAUGGGGGAUGUUAGCAUUGUUGCGUUUUGGGGAACUAGUAUGUGUAAUUUUCGCGAACAAUAACCUUUAGUUAAAAAAUAACUAUAACUUUUUUAACAUUAGCGUGUAAGACCUUGCCUCGGAGCCAGCUGGUGUAUAUAGCUGUAGCAGUUAAAAGUUCGCUAGAAAUGUGGCCAAUGUGUUGAAUUUUUCUGUUGGCAAUGUGAUGCAUUAGGCUAGUCAUGUCUGCCUUGUACAGCAGUUCGUUUGGAUGUAAUAGGUGUGAUAAUUUACGUUUGCAUGGGUAUAUAGUGCCUACCGCAAACAGCAAGAACAUUUCUGUGAACUAUUUCUUAGGACUUCGAGAUGUUAACACUAAAAUAACCUGGCAGUGAAAUUAUAGGCUUUGUGUAAAACUUAGCGACAUUAGCAUCUUGUAGUGUGUAGGAGCCAGCUGAUGUAUAUCAAUCGCUAAAGAUAUGGCCAACGAAUUUUUGUGUGAACAGUUAGGCUAGCCUAUUUUAAUCUAGGCUUACUUAUACAGUAGAUAGUUCGUUUGGAUGUCUAUGGAGAGGAAUUUGUGUCGAAGUAUAUAAUGUCUUUAUGAAAAAUAGUUCUCAUCCAAAAAACAUUCCUUUGUGAAAAUGCUUGUGUUGGGGUGGAGGUGUUAAUAGUCUGCCUGCAAAUAUGAUUCAAGGCAAUUAGCCCUCCUGUUGACACCUUCGACACAACAAUGAUGGGGUCAUACAUGUUAAAUGGGCACUUUUUUUGUUCAUGAACGACGUGUUUAGCAGCUAAGAGACUCACCUGCAUUUACCAAAACAUGCUGCUUACUGUUCAUAUCACUUGUAUCUUAUACCAUACUGUAUAUAUUCUAUUUAUACAUUUUUAUAUUACCACUUUGCACAUACUCUGCACUCUUCUGAUUUUGCACUUCUGGCUAGAUGCUAACUGCAUUUCGUUGCCUCAGUACAAUUUAUAUGUAUAAAUACAUAUAUAUAAACAAACCUAAUAACCAAUGCCAUAAUCAUUUUGAAUCUAUAGUUAUGUUUUCCCCCUUUUUUUUACAGGGACACCAGCCUUCAGCAGAUUAGAGAAGGUGUUGACCAACAAGAGGGUUCUGAAAGAUGUGGGGAAGCUGAGCCCUCACUACCAGACCUCGUUGUUGGAGUCUUUCCACAGCGUCAUUCUGCGUUUUGCGCCCAAAAACGUAGUCUUUCCUUUUCUUGGAAUGUUAUGCAGACUCUACCUGGCAGUCCUGCAUUUCAAUGAAAAUGCUGGGCGUCCCCAAGCAACAAGUUCAGCUGGUGAGCCGCUAUUUAAAGUGAACCUCCCAAAAUACAAGAAGGGCGAGUGCACUGCAAAGCCGGUGAAAGCAGAGCCAACCUUCCGUUUUUCAGGACCCGGCCCCAUAUGUGAAUGAGGUGCUGAAGAUCCCAAUACCCGCGGAUCUCUCUGCCCAGUUUGAGAAACCUGACAAGCGGGAAGUUGUAGCCAGCUAUGUGUCAAGGUUCAAUCGAGGGCAGGUCUGAACCCCGUAUACCUUCCUUGAGCAUCAGGGAACACUCUUCGUAUCUGGAGCACAACUCAGGAUGGCAGGACGACCCUGAUUCUCCGGCCCAGAUAGCCCCAACACCAGCCAACAAAGCUUCUGUACGCCAAAUACCUGUAACGUCUAAGCAAAGUUUACAUUGUAUAAGAGAAUAAAAGGUGAUACACAUAUAUAAAGUAUUCCUUUGUUUACAGUAUGGCUACAGAUGGCACAA